Molecule: long non-coding RNA, 2857 nt
Filed under: Prunus persica (peach)
Lineage: Eukaryota; Viridiplantae; Streptophyta; Magnoliopsida; Rosales; Rosaceae
Description: long non-coding RNA (PPER_LNC007388)
Source: RNAcentral
GAAAUCAGACGACAGUCCUAGGACGCGUGCCCUCCUAGAAAACGACAUAUUCGUGAUGACAAUCUAUAGGGCCAAGGGCAAGAAUCGGACUGAGGAUGAGUUACGGCAGCUUGGUCUCUCUGCUGGCUUCUCUCAUUUCAAACCAAUCUACAUCGAUUAUUUUUACACCGUCUUAGAAUUCCAAAAGUGAUAAGUGUAGUUUGGCUUUAAUUUGGAAUUUUUCAACUGUAUGUUUCUAUUUGAUUAGAGCAAAUGAAGAGUAAUAUAUAUAAAUUAACUCUUUCAAGGUAAAAUACUCUACUGCCAACCAUUACACAAUACAUAAUAUGUAAUGUACGUGAUUAAAAAGAAUGUUAGAGUUACACGUGAGCAGUGGUGGUUCUAGGAUUAAAAAGCCGGUUGGGCAAAACUUACAUAUAAAACUCGACGAUACGAGUGAAUUUCAUUAAUAAACAUAAAAAGAUACACCUAGUUAGGAGGACAUAAUGAGUCUUACCCUCAAAUGCAUCUCUAUCCAUAAAUAAAAGUUCAACAAAUACAAAAUCUAAAACUAAAACCAAAAGUAAAUGCAUGUCCAAAAGUAAAACCAUCAAAAAUAAAGGUUGGGUGUGACUGAUUCAUGUCAAAAAGGAAGCAUGGAAAACAAAAUACCUUAUUCUUAGCAAUUGAAUGCUCAAGCCAAGUGAAUUGGCCAAACCACUUUUUAUUAAAUCGACGAAAGUCCCACCCUUCUAAGUGGCUUGGAUAAUCUUCUAAGUCAGGUUGACAUGGUCCUAAAAGAAUAUAUGCUCUUCGCGCAUUAUUUUGUUCAUUCACCGGAUAUUUGCAUAUUAAACGACGUAAUCCUGGAUCACGCUCAAGAUAAUUGAUAUUAAAAUCAUGAUCAUCAUCGAUUCUUUGAGAUUCAACUCUUUCAACUGGAGGCUCAACAAUGGGAGACUCAUGAAGAUUUUGCUCGUCACAUAUUAGAGUAAAUAAAGAAGUGCUAGAAGAUAAUGUACUAGAUGAUGACCCAUCAUUCUUUUUCUUAAAAAAAAGACAACAAAUUUUUUGUUCUCUAGGGAUUCCGAUUGUGAUCCGACAUAAUAAAAGAUAGCCUAUGAAUUAGAAAAAAAUUUAAUCAAACAUACCAGCAAAAAAUCAAACAAAUUCUCAUAAUAGCAUCUCAACAAAACCAAACCAAAAAUUAUAAUUCAUCCAUAAUUAAACCCUAGAAUAUUCAAUUUUAACAAAAUCUCAAAUCAAAGCUUUAGAAUAAUUCAUCCCUAAUCAAAGCUCUAAUUAAUUUCAACAAAAUCUCAAAAUUAUAAUUCAUCCAUAAUUAAACCCUAGAAUACUCAAUUUUAAAUUAAAACUAUAAUUAAAGAUAUAUAGCAAAGGAGAGAAUGAGAAUAAUACCUUGUUGGUGACAAAAGGAGAAGAGAAGAUGUUGUUGCCAAGUUGCCCACCAAAGAUAAUAGAAGAUGUAGCCAAUAGAGGAAGAAUUUGACCCAAAAAAAGAAGAAGAGAGAAACUUGUUGCUCUGGUAGCAGAGAGAAAGAAGUAGUCUAAUGACCAAAGAGAAGGAUAGAAAAGAUGGAACCACAUGGAUGGGCAACAUAUAGGUAGGAUUUGUUUUUAAUUCUUUUUAUUUUUGGGUUGGACUUAUAACACAUAUAGGUCUUUUUUUUUUUUUUGAAAAAUUUUGGGCUGGGCUUUGCAUAGCCCCGCCACUGCAUGUGAGUUAGUCUCUUUUUUUUAUUUAUCUAAAGAAGAAUUUCAUUCAACUGAAGCAACAUACAGGACUUAAAAAGGUGGCAUUUAGUCACUUAUAAAGGUGGGGUGUAAGCACACAUUUAGGUUUGAAUUCCUUACCUCUAGUCACCAAAUAUCAACCCUUAAACCGAAAAAUCAAAAGAAAACUCUAAACCUUGACUUUAAGUACCAAACUAUAAAUCUUGGAUCUAUAACUAAGUUAGAGUUUUGAAGCUUGAAUGGGCAUAAAAAAAAAAAAAAAAAAAACUCUCAAACCCUAACCGUCUUGAAAGUCACAUCAUAAACUUAGAGCAAUAAGUAUCAAAUCUUAGACAAAAUCCUAAUUUCGUAUCCAACAUCGCUUACUCCAAACUCGAACUCUAAUCCUCACAUCUUAAAAGUCACAUCAUAAACUUAGAGCAACAAGUAUCAAAUCUUUGACAAAACCCUAAUUUUGUAUCCAACAUCGUUUACUCCGCACUCGAACCCUAACCACUAACCCUAAGAAAUAACCUCUUGAACGGCCUUUUAGAGACGCCUUUGAGUUUGUGAUUUUGUAUUGCUUGUUGAAUUAUUUGUUUGAUAAUCCUUCCAAUUUUUUUUAUAUGUUUUUGUUCAAGACUUUAUCCUAGUAGGUCAUAUUACUAGUUUUGUAUGGGGCGCUUAAAAUCUCAGAACGGUCACUAAUUUUGAACUCUUGAUCAUCAGGCUCAAAUCUAAUCUCAAAUUCUAAACAUUGGACCUUAAACUACAAUACUUAAUCUCAAGACUCGAACUUAUAACUUGGAGCCUUAGAUCUCAAGUUCAAAGCAUCGAUCAUCUUGUUUCGGGCCAGACAAACUUCAAACCUCGAGAGCUACCUUAGAUUGAGAUUCCCAGCCUAGAAUGUUCAACCAAACAAAUGAAAAUUGAGAGUACUUGCGCACCAAGACACAAGGAAGUUUCCAAAUACUUAACCCACGAUGUCUUGUCAUCUCAUGUACAGCCAUGAAGCAUUGUACGCAUAAGCGGGCCCAUUGACGCAGCAGAAAAUCUGGGAAAUAUCUAAGACUUUCGAUUCGAUGGCGUCGAGGCUAAAAAUAGAAAAACAAACAAUUAAUCACACUUACUUUCCCCUCUUAAC